CAGGCCUAACACAUGCAAGUCGAACGGUAGCACAGAGAGCUUGCUCUCGGGUGACGAGUGGCGGACGGGUGAGUAAUGUCUGGGAAACUGCCUGAUGGAGGGGGAUAACUACUGGAAACGGUAGCUAAUACCGCAUAACGUCGCAAGACCAAAGAGGGGGACCUUCGGGCCUCUUGCCAUCAGAUGUGCCCAGAUGGGAUUAGCUAGUAGGUGGGGUAAUGGCUCACCUAGGCGACGAUCCCUAGCUGGUCUGAGAGGAUGACCAGCCACACUGGAACUGAGACACGGUCCAGACUCCUACGGGAGGCAGCAGUGGGGAAUAUUGCACAAUGGGCGCAAGCCUGAUGCAGCCAUGCCGCGUGUAUGAAGAAGGCCUUCGGGUUGUAAAGUACUUUCAGCGGGGAGGAAGGUGUUG
Molecule: ribosomal RNA, 415 nt
Filed under: Leclercia adecarboxylata
Lineage: Bacteria; Pseudomonadati; Pseudomonadota; Gammaproteobacteria; Enterobacterales; Enterobacteriaceae
Description: bacterial SSU rRNA
Rfam family: Bacterial small subunit ribosomal RNA
Source: RNAcentral